GAUGAACGCUAGCUACAGGCUUAACACAUGCAAGUCGAGGGGAAACGGCAUUAAGUGCUUGCACUUUUUGGACGUCGACCGGCGCACGGGUGAGUAACGCGUAUCCAACCUUCCCAUGACUAAGGGAUAACCUGCCGAAAGGCAGACUAAUACCUUAUGGUCUUCACUGACGGCAUCAGAUGUGAAGUAAAGAUUUAUCGGUUAUGGAUGGGGAUGCGUCUGAUUAGCUUGUUGGCGGGGUAACGGCCCACCAAGGCAACGAUCAGUAGGGGUUCUGAGAGGAAGGUCCCCCACAUUGGAACUGAGACACGGUCCAAACUCCUACGGGAGGCAGCAGUGAGGAAUAUUGGUCAGUGGGCGAGAGCCUGAACCAGCCAAGUAGCGUGCAGGAUGACGGCCCUAUGGGUUGUAAACUGCUUUUGUAUGGGGAUAAAGUCAAUCACGUGUGAUUGUUUGCAG
Molecule: ribosomal RNA, 459 nt
Filed under: Prevotella sp. oral taxon 298
Lineage: Bacteria; Pseudomonadati; Bacteroidota; Bacteroidia; Bacteroidales; Prevotellaceae
Description: bacterial SSU rRNA
Rfam family: Bacterial small subunit ribosomal RNA
Source: RNAcentral